AUUAGCGCUAGCGGCAGGCAUAAUACAUGCAAGUUGAACGGCAGCACAGGUAGCAAUACCGGGUGGCGAGUGGCGCACGGGUGCGUAACACGUAUGCAACCUACCCUAUACAGGCGAAUAACCUUUAGAAAUGAGGGCUAAUACGCCGUGGUAUUAUCUUGGGGCAUCUUGAGAUAAUUAAAGAUUUAUCGGUAUAGGAUGGGCAUGCGUCCCAUUAGUUAGUUGGUAGGGUAACGGCCUACCAAGGCUAUGAUGGGUAGGGG
This 263-nucleotide ribosomal RNA is filed under the name uncultured bacterium. RNAcentral describes it as "partial 16S ribosomal RNA". It matches the Rfam family "Bacterial small subunit ribosomal RNA", at positions 29 to 289 of the family's 1533-position model. The record is from RNAcentral.